GUACAUCCUGAGCCAGGUGGCUCCAAACCGAAGGGGAGAGGUGUGGCAAAAUAAACGAGGUCAUUUUCAUUUAAGAGACAAGGAACCUGAAAUUUAGAAAAGUUUGUCAAUCCCAUCACUAAUAAUGAAGAUCCAUAAUUCAAACGGAAAUCUUGGAGGAUCCAACACAGAUGUGCACUGAUAAGAGCAUCAUGAUUAUCUAUUCUGCCUGUACCAUGAAGAUUUUAACUGGUCAAAGCCCACGCAAGUAUCUGUUUAGUAUUGUGAAUAUCACUCCUGGCUGUAUGACUAAAAAAGAAACAGCUCAAACACACGUCUUUUAAUCUA
This is a long non-coding RNA of Suricata suricatta (meerkat), 327 nucleotides long. RefSeq lists it as uncharacterized. The transcript has 3 exons. The record is from RefSeq and is a predicted model, not a curated record. NCBI's taxonomy places the organism in Eukaryota, Metazoa, Chordata, Mammalia, Carnivora, Herpestidae.